RNAcentral lists this ribosomal RNA (261 nucleotides) under uncultured bacterium. RNAcentral's name for it is "partial 16S ribosomal RNA". It matches the Rfam family "Bacterial small subunit ribosomal RNA", at positions 333 to 608 of the family's 1533-position model. The record is from RNAcentral.
GGACUCCUACGGGGGGCAGCAGUGGGGAAUAUUGGGCAAUGGGCGCAAGCCUGACCCAGCAACGCCGCGUGAAGGAAGAAGGCUUUCGGGUUGUAAACUUCUUUUCUCAGGGACGAAGCAAGUGACGGGACCUGAGGAAUAAGCCACGGCUAACUACGUGCCAGCAGCCGCGGUAAUACGUAGGUGGCAAGCGUUAUCCGGAUUUACUGGGUGUAAAGGUCGUGUAGGCGGGAAAGCAAGUCAGAUGCGAAAACCAUGGGC